AUACAGGAGGGGGCAAGCGUUAUUCGGAAUUAUUGGGCGUAAAGCGCGUGUAGGCGGUUUGUUAAGUCUGAUGUGAAAGCCCCGGGCUCAACCUGGGAAGUGCAUUGGAUACUGGCAGACUUGAAUACGGGAGAGGGCAGGUGGGAUUCCUGGUGUAGGAGUGAAAUCCGUAGAUAUCAGGAGGACACCGGUGGCGAAGGCGGCUGCCUGGACCGAUAUUGACGCUGAGACGCGAAAGCGUGGGUAGC
RNAcentral lists this ribosomal RNA (248 nucleotides) under uncultured bacterium. RNAcentral's name for it is "partial 16S ribosomal RNA". It matches the Rfam family "Bacterial small subunit ribosomal RNA", at positions 523 to 769 of the family's 1533-position model. The record is from RNAcentral.